Molecule: long non-coding RNA, 199 nt
Filed under: Lathyrus oleraceus (garden pea)
Lineage: Eukaryota; Viridiplantae; Streptophyta; Magnoliopsida; Fabales; Fabaceae
Description: Pisum sativum (pea) long non-coding RNA (PSAT_LNC026140)
Source: RNAcentral
UCCAUCGAAAUUUUGUCUCACUUCCACUCAUGAAUACUCAACGACUGCAUCAAACCCAAUGGCUUCUGAUGCUUAAUCUUUAACUUCUGGAAAGUCUAACAAGCAUACACAAACUUAGAAAUUUCCUUCUUCAUUCCUGGCCACCAAAACAUCUUCUUCAAGUCUUGAUACAUUUUAGUUGCAUCGAGAUGAAUACUCA